This is a long non-coding RNA of Triticum urartu, 4013 nucleotides long. RefSeq lists it as uncharacterized. Lineage: Eukaryota; Viridiplantae; Streptophyta; Magnoliopsida; Poales; Poaceae. The record is from RefSeq and is a predicted model, not a curated record.
AGGGGAAAAGAUCUCUCUCUUCCCCGUCUCUUCCCACCCCUCUCACGCCUCGUCUUUUCCACCUCCGCCUCCAUCACCUCCUCCUCCCCUGCCUCCGCACCCGACCACGCGCUGUGGACGAGGAGGCAACAGCUCGGGAGGCAGGCAAGAGGAAAACGGGAGGGAUCCCCUCCCGAGCCCCGCGCCUCUCCUCUUUCCCACUGCGCCGCCAGCCCCUUUCCCUCCCAUCUUGAGCUGCUGCAGCUCCUCCCUUAACCCGCGGCGCGCCUUCUUCUCCGACCGUUGUUGCCCGCACUGCUACCGCCAUGGCCUGCUACUGCUCCUCCUCCAGCUCCUCGCCCCAGCAACGCUUCCUCCCCUCCUCUCAUGCAAGGCGUCUUGGGGUGUGGAGGCGGCGGGGCAGCAGCCAGUCGUUGCCCUGCAGGUCGGCUUUCCUGUUGUGGCGGCGACACGUCUAGAGGAACCGGUCGCCCUUCUCCUGGAUGAGCGCCGGAGCCGAAAAGCCGGAACUGACCAUUGAGGAGCUGGGGCAGCCGUGCCACAUAGGAAGGUUGAGGUGGACCAGGAGAAGCUGCACGAGGCUCCAUCGCCUCCUGCUCAAAUUUGGUUUCUCUAUGCCUACAUGGUGUUUGAUGAAAAUCCAAGAAGGACGGGGAGGAUUGAUCUAUGCGGAUAAGAGAAGAAAACUGAAACAUGUUCACUAGAGUGGCCUGGGGUGGCCUGCGAGCUACGAGGAUGGGGCUGCGAGACUGGAUUGGCAGCCGACAGCGAGAGAGGAAGGGUGGUUGUUCCUGUGAUGAGGUGGUGAUGAUUGCCAUAGUGGAAUUUUGUAGGUACGACGGCGGCGAGCUUUGAGGGCCCCCGGUUUGGUGGCAGCAUGAGCCUCGUGGAGUUGUCUCAGACAACAUCACAUCUAUUUGUUUUUGUUUCCCCACUUAGACUACUGCUUUGAUUCUGAAGUGUGGAGAUGGAUGUGACUUACCAUGGAGGAAGUGGGUACAAUAUCCAUUUGAAAGAUGCAGCAGGCUCAAAAUAAGUUUCCGGUGCAAGUGUAGCUGCAAGCCAGAUUGGUUCUUACAGCAAUGGAGUGAUUUGUACCCUGCAAAGUUCCUCUCUUGGUUCACUGACACGAUCAACCUAUGUGCACGUAGAUGAUGUUUUGUUUCCCUUCCCAGAAUCUCUGUUAUGUAUUGGUGUUGAUGUUUUCUUCACUUGGAGAUGCAAAAACAGCCCGAGACAGUUCAGGCCGAGGAUUCUCCCUCGCUCGAGGAUUCCAGUAACUAUGAGUUCUAGGCGAAGAUGUAUGUUUCCUACAGACAUUUUCAGUUUGACGAGAGCUUUGCCAUUCAGCUUGAAAAAGUAUGUUCCGUCUAGGACAGAGAACCAUGAGUAUCACCACUGUUGGAGGAAAAAGCUAGAGCAAUUAUGUUUCUACUUUCAUGCAUUAUGGUUGUCUAUUCUGGGAAGGAUAGAGUUUACAUAUUUCGUAUGCCUAAAUAGUGAAGGUACUUUAUUUUCAUUUAAUUGUUUCUAUGCUAUUCUCUCAUUGUCUGUGUUGGCUAAGAAAUACUAAUGUAAAUAUUCUUCGAUUUGAAAAGUUGUCAUCUCUCAUUUUUUUCGUUUUACCGCUUUCUUGUGCUACAGUUUGUUAGGCAAAUUUAGCUUUCAAUUCAACAAUUUGCUUGCUUUCUAAAGCAUGUACUACUGUUGAAGUUCAGUAUAUCAAGUAAUAAUAGUGUGUUAAAAUGAAUAAUACACAUUGAGCUAUAUAUAUUUGCUGCAAUUCGGGGCUGCUGUUGUAAUGUGGUAUAUCUCCUCCCUUGUAAUAUGUAAGGUUGAAGUGACAGUUUAAUAUUCUUCUGCUCAGCAGCACCAAGUAAGUGUUUGCAGCCUUUCUGUGCUACAUGUGAGUUCAGUUUACUGCUAACUGCAGUUGUUUAUGGAUUAGUGUAUUUUGUUGUAGGUUAAAUGGAGUUAGUAAGACCAUAUUUGAUGCUGAUCAUAAGAUACUAACGGGCUCCAUGUAAUCCCAAGUGCAUUGCACAACAAUUGUCAUUUUGCAAGAUCUUCUAGAGGGCUAUAUGUCCUAUGCUCCUCUUGAUGACAUAUAUGAGGACUCGCAACCCUGAGCCUGGAAGACAACCGUUGAGGCGGUGGUCAUGGGGCAACGAUAGUCGAUAGCUACUAUCAGAACAUAAACGUAUGGCCCUCCUUGUUGCCAUGAAGGAUUAUCGUCUAUUGGAUUUGCAGAACCAGUUAAUGACAAGAUGAUGGCAGUAGCAAUGGAGGGUCGUGGUUUCUGAAUGCUGAGACUUCCAGUUUUUAGGAUGGGUUAUUUAGUAUGAACAAAUAUGGCAACAUUCAUUAGUCGUACUGUUUCUUGAGGUGAUGUCACUGCUACAGGUAUGACAUUAUCGUUGGACCUUCAACUAUAUUUAUAUUAUGUAUAUGCUUCCAGAGAGUACUUGUUUCUGUACUAUAUGCUAAAUGAAAAAAAAAUCCUUUUAUGCUAAAACAUGACAUGGCUAAUUAGUAAUUGCACUACAUUCCUGAUAACUUUUAAACUUUUGGAAGGCAUGACAGUGUUCAACCUUGAUUAGGUACGUACAUAAAGUACUACCCUUUAACGAUUUGAAAAGGCAUGUCCUGUGAUACAACUCGCCUUGCUAACUGUGCUACAAAGUGUCUAAACCUUGCAUUUUAUAUCAGGAUGGUAAAAUUUCAACAAUACAUCAUCGUUCAAACUAAACUGAACUUGAUAGAGUUUCACCGGAUGCAAAACCACCAUUGAUAAUUUAGCUAAUCGCUCAUGAAGUUGGUGGUUACUCUACACUGCAGAGUACUGUAAAAUAGGAAAACACUAAUAAAUGUUGUAGUUGUAUAUUGACUAUAAGCGAACCAGUUCUAAUUGCUAAUUAAAAUACAAAUGAAGGAGCACUUGCGUGAUCAUACUGCAAUUAAUUUAACGUACCUUAGAUUUGAAAGACUGCUUGUUUUCCCCCUUCUAUUGCCAAGUUCAUGGUUUCCUCGUUGUCAUAUUGUUCACAAAGAAUUUUUUCUCCGAGGUUCCUGAACCCAAUAGUUGAAUGCCCCCCAGUCAAAUUUGGGAAUGGAUGCUUUAAUGUAGAAGCCCAUCUAAUAUAAGGAAAUGAGGACAGGGCAACCAUAGCUUACUUGGCAGAAACCUGCUCCAGGUUCGUAUAAGCUGAAUACUGGCGCAAGUUACUUUGAUGAUGGAACAGGUUCAGUUGCUGCAGUGCUUAGAAACUCGUGAGGGGAAGCUAUCGCAGGAGCUUCCGAGCUAAUUGACCAUGUUCUUAAUGCCCAAACUUCUGAAACUUUGGCGCUGUUGCAAGGUUUGAAGCUUCUUUCAGAGAUUGGGUGCACCAAGGUGACAGUCGAAUCAGAUUGUCUAGAACUGAUUGAAGCACGUAGUGGAAAAAUUGAGAUUUUGGGUCCCAAUGUAGCAAUACUUGUGGACUGUUUUCAUAUUGCUCAUGAAAUUCCUGGAAUUUGUUUCAAGCAUUGUCCAAGUGAAGCUAGCAAAUUCCAUUUGGUUUCACAGAGGAUAGGCCCAUUGGAUCUGUUGAUGCUACUGUGUUUCGACUUGAGAUCAGAUACUUCUGUUUCAGCGUAAAGGUCGACAAGUGCCACCGCCACUCCCUAUGUUGUUUCUAUUCUAACGCGAUCUACUUGAGGUGAGACCAGGAGACAAACGUCUUUCACUCCUAUGGGUCCAACUCCUAAUGAUUGAUGAUGUACAAUGUGUCUAAUUCCAGUUCAAACGUCUUUCACUUGAUUUGCUUGACCUCUUAUUUUGUCUUGCAUAUUUUUAGAUGAUAUUAGUAGUCACUCGAGCAUCAAUUUUUUCUAUGUUCACUACAAGUUCUUUUCCUUUCAAAAUUAAUCUUCCUUUGUGCUAAAUGUUCUUUCUUACUGAACUAUCACUCCAAUUGUAAGUUGCCUGUUUGGCAUAAAGGUUGGAUAUAUGGUGAUAUGGUAAAUUAAGAAAA